Molecule: ribosomal RNA, 278 nt
Filed under: uncultured archaeon
Lineage: Archaea
Description: partial 16S ribosomal RNA
Rfam family: Archaeal small subunit ribosomal RNA
Source: RNAcentral
AGACGUCUACUAUUAGACUACCCGUGUACGUCCCAGCCGUAAACUAUGCUCGCUAGGUGUCAGGCAUGGCGCGACCGUGUCUGGUGCCGCGAGGGAAGCCGUGAAGCGAGCCCACCGUGGGAAAGGUACCGGCCGACGAAAGGCUAGAAACGUUAAAGGAAUUGGCGGGGAGCACAACAACGGGUGGAGCCUGCGGUUUAAUUGGACUCAACGCCGGACAACUCACCGGGGACGACAGCAAUAUGUAGGCCAGGCUGAAGACCUUGCCUGAAUCGCUG